UAGGGAAUCUUCGGCAAUGGACGAAAGUCUGACCGAGCAACGCCGCGUGAGUGAAGAAGGUUUUCGGAUCGUAAAACUCUGUUGUUAGAGAAGAACAAGGACGUUAGUAACUGAACGUCCCCUGACGGUAUCUAACCAGAAAGCCACGGCUAACUACGUGCCAGCAGCCGCGGUAAUACGUAGGUGGCAAGCGUUGUCCGGAUUUAUUGGGCGUAAAGCGAGCGCAGGCGGUUUCUUAAGUCUGGUGUGAAAGCCCCCGGCUCAACCGGGGAGGGUCAUUGGAAACUGGGAGACUUGAGUGCAGAAGAGGAGAGUGGAAUUCCAUGUGUAGCGGUGAAAUGCGUAGUUAUAUGGAGGAACACCAGUGGCGAAGGCGGCUCUCUGGACUGUAACUGACGCUGAGGCUCGAAGGCGUGGGGGGCAAACAGG
Molecule: ribosomal RNA, 429 nt
Filed under: Gemmatimonadota bacterium
Lineage: Bacteria; Pseudomonadati; Gemmatimonadota
Description: Gemmatimonadetes bacterium partial 16S ribosomal RNA
Rfam family: Bacterial small subunit ribosomal RNA
Source: RNAcentral